CUGGCGGAGCCCCACUAACUCGGAGCCUGCCGCGUUGGGUAAUGUGUGGACCUUAGCACAGGCACAUUCGAUGGCCUCAAGGUUAGUGACACCUGGAUGAAGACCCUGCUCCUGUCCUGUGGUACUGGACAUCUGUGAGCCUGUCUCUGGGUUUGUAGAGGGUUAAUGGAAGCUAACUUAGGAGGCUGUGAGAGUCCCAUGGUAUAAUUUUACAUGCAGAGUCCCAGCCUGUCUUUCUGCCCCCAGGGACUGCUACUACGACAACUCAACCACCUGCCCCAAGUGUGCCCGGCUCAACUUGAGGAAGCAGUCACUCUUCCAGGAGCCCGAUCCAGACUUGGAUGCCUAGAGCCCUGGGCACACCACCUGCCUCUCUGGCACCCACCCCACUGGCAUUGCAAAGCCAGGGUGCUGUUUCUGCCCUGAAGACCCUUUGGGUGCAUCCCUUGGAUGUCUUCACUCCUGCUGGGCCAGAAGUGGGGCCAAGGCUUCUGGGUUCUAGAGAUGUCCCUCCCUGCUCCUGUCCAAGCCACUCUGCAACUGGUCAGGUAAAGACCCCCAGAGGGCUUCAGAGGAGUGGCCAGUGAGACCUGAGCCUGCCAGCUGCAUACAUCCAGCCUUGGGCUUUGGAUUCUACCUGAAGACCAACCCUCCUGGUCCCUUGCCUCUUUGGGAGCUUCUGGUCAUCCCUGGCUGGGGCUCUUCAAGGUGGUGUCCAUGGCCCCACCUGAGGUCCUUCUGAGUCGUCCAAGGGCCGUCAGUCCAUUGGGUCCCUGCCCUCCCUGAUCAGGAAAGGGAGGCUUCCUGCUGUGGGGCUUCUCCUGGUGGGUGUGCUUGCUGCUGCUCUUGCUCUGGCCCAGCCCCCUUAUCCUGGUGCUCUGAGAUGAGUGGUGGUGGGCCCAGCCCAAGAAGGGUGUCCUGGCCUCCGGUGUAGCAGGAACUGGGUCCCUGGAGGAGGUUCCAGGUCAGGUAAAGGAGUUGGGUACAAUAGGCCUGUGUGGCAUUCCUUGGGAUCACAUUUGUCCCUGGAGCUUUGUCUUGCUGCCAGUCUGUGAAGAGCUCCAGAGAGCUCAGAGAUGACCAUCCAGAAAGUUUUGGUUUGGGGCCUGAGGCCUGAGAAAUGGGAAUAUUUGCUGGAGGAAGAACGAAGCAGGAGGUGUAGAGCUCAUGCAGGAAUGUCCAGACCUGGAAGGUGGGUAGGACCCAGGCUUUUCAGUGGGAAAGCCACUCCCAGCCUUGGGGUUUGCACCUUACAGG
RNAcentral lists this long non-coding RNA (1257 nucleotides) under Urocitellus parryii (Arctic ground squirrel). RNAcentral describes it as "lncRNA (ENSUPAG00010008532.1)". Lineage: Eukaryota; Metazoa; Chordata; Mammalia; Rodentia; Sciuridae. The record is from RNAcentral.